This is a long non-coding RNA of Thrips palmi, 702 nucleotides long. RefSeq lists it as uncharacterized. Lineage: Eukaryota; Metazoa; Arthropoda; Insecta; Thysanoptera; Thripidae. The transcript is spliced from 2 exons. The record is from RefSeq and is a predicted model, not a curated record.
CAGAGUUCAAAAACUUGGCGCAUGAUAAACUUGUUCGUGCUUUCACCCCUUGCGAGGCUCGUCAGCAAGGCCACCGUGGCGUUGCACUCCCCGCAGAACAGGCCGACUUUGUUCAAAGCCAGGGAGGAACACCUAGAUCGAGGAAUUUAAUUCAAGUCGUCAUACUGGGUUAGUCUCGUGGUUCUGAGAGGAAAGAUUUCAAACCAAUUGUGAGGGUUGAGUGGGGGACAAGGAGGACUGGUGGUGUAGCAACAUAGCUUCUAACAAGAGAAGACUUGUAUCCAGUGUGUUGGGGAGUAAACUAAAGGCCUAGGCCUCUGCAGAAAAUGGAAAAAGUAAACCAAGGUGUUCACUCUGAUUGGUGUAACAUGAAUGAGAAAGAUGGGAGUGUAUCUGCUAAGACAACGACUUAUGUGAAAAAAUACCUAUUUAUUCAAGCGUUAAUCACAUGUGUGCUCUGGUGUAGAACACAUACACUAAAUACUUUUUUAUUUUUUUCUUUGAUUUACAGGAAAGUGCUCUAUAACCGAGCAGUUUUAUGUACAAAACUAAACAACCUAAUAGAAAAACUGUGAUUAACAGAUUGUCUUUUAAUCUCUAAACCAAAAAAAAAAACACGACUAGAAACGUGAAACCAUUGGUAGAUUUCGAAUGAGAAAGAUGUGGAAGAUAUGGCACACAUCAAGGAACCCUUAUGUACUC